Small nuclear RNA from Myotis lucifugus (little brown bat), 104 nucleotides. NCBI's taxonomy places the organism in Eukaryota, Metazoa, Chordata, Mammalia, Chiroptera, Vespertilionidae. The record is from Ensembl.
GUGCCUACUAUGGCAGCACAUAUACUAAAGGAAUGAUACAGAGAAGGUUAGCAUGGCCCCUGAGUAAGGAUGACAUGCAAAUUCGUGAACUGUUCCAUAUUUUU